Molecule: long non-coding RNA, 852 nt
Filed under: Setaria viridis
Lineage: Eukaryota; Viridiplantae; Streptophyta; Magnoliopsida; Poales; Poaceae
Description: long non-coding RNA (SVIR_LNC010881)
Source: RNAcentral
CUCCGCUGCCACAUCACGUUCUUGUUUUUCAAGAAGCACCAUUGAUUUGAGAACUUCCAACUAACAACAGUGGAUCCGAAGUCAGAUUGUGAUCUUGUAAUUGAUUUAAACUAAGGAAACAAGGAACGUCAAUAAGCAUCAUGUGUUUAGUUUGUUACCCUGGAGCUAGACUGAAAAGGAGCAACUACAGAUGUUGACCCUCUAGCCGGCUGAAACAGGAUACGAUCAAACUUCAAUUGAUGCAUUUGUUUAAGUAUAAAUUAAGAGCGGACAAAUAAACAAGCACAAGAACAUGUGGCAAAGGUUGAGAUCAUUCACAAACUGAAGCAAUUUCAUCUAUUAAGUUCUAUAAACCACAUAAACAAUUUGACUUGGCACAAAAAUAAUUAUUGGAAAAGGUGAAAGAUAAAGGGGAUCUGCUGGAGCAGUAAUUUUUCACCAACUCUACCAAUAGGGUACAGCAGAUCCACAUUCCCCAAUAUAACUACAAUAUUGAAAGCCAAAGAGCAUGAGGAAGCAAUCUAAUAAUUUCAUCUAUUAAGUUCUACAGAUCACAUAAAUAAUUUGAGUUGGCACAAAAAUAAUUAUUGGAAAAGGUGAAAGAUAAAGGGGAUCUAGUGGAGCAGUAAUUUUUCACCAACUCUCGCAAUAGAGUACAGCAAAUCCACAUUCACCAAAGCAUGCAACUACAAUGUUGAAAGCCAAAGAGCAUGGGGAAGCAAUCUAAUAAUUGAAUUUAGCAAUACGGGGAGGAGACCACUAACCUGACGAACAUGAAGAGAAGGAGGUGCCGAAUGCCGCCUCGAUGGAGUAGCCCAGGCAUGCGUUGCUUCCUCAGUCUUCUUUGCACGU